CACGUAGGGUGCGAGCGUUGUCCGGAAUUACUGGGCUUAAAGAGUUCGUAGGCGGCGCGGUAAGUAGGGUGUGAAAGCCCUCGGCUUAACCGAGGAAUUGCGCUCUAAACUACCGUGCUUGAGGAACCUAGAGGUGAGCAGAACUGAUGGUGGAGCGGUGAAAUGCGUUGAUAUCAUCAGGAAUACCGGAGGCGAAGGCAGCCCCCUGGGUCGACACUGACGCUCAGGCACGAAAGCGUGGGGAGCAAACAGG
RNAcentral lists this ribosomal RNA (253 nucleotides) under uncultured bacterium. Its description in RNAcentral is "partial 16S ribosomal RNA". It matches the Rfam family "Bacterial small subunit ribosomal RNA", at positions 524 to 776 of the family's 1533-position model. The record is from RNAcentral.